Molecule: transfer RNA, 58 nt
Filed under: Caudoviricetes sp.
Lineage: Duplodnaviria; Heunggongvirae; Uroviricota; Caudoviricetes
Description: tRNA-OTHER
Rfam family: tRNA
About the family: Transfer RNA (tRNA) molecules are approximately 80 nucleotides in length. Their secondary structure includes four short double-helical elements and three loops (D, anti-codon, and T loops).
Source: RNAcentral
GCAGGCGUAGCUCAGUCGGUAGAGCAUUUGGUCGCUGGUUCGAGUCCAGCCGCUUGCA